RNAcentral lists this ribosomal RNA (397 nucleotides) under uncultured bacterium. Its description in RNAcentral is "partial 16S ribosomal RNA". It matches the Rfam family "Bacterial small subunit ribosomal RNA", at positions 523 to 918 of the family's 1533-position model. The record is from RNAcentral.
AUACGUAGGGGGCGAGCGUUGUCCGGAAUGAUUGGGCGUAAAGGGCGCGUAGGCGGCGCGGUAAGUCUGGAGUGAAAGUCCUGCUUUCAAGGUGGGAAUUGCUUUGGAUACUGCCGCGCUUGAGUGCAGGAGAGGUUAUCGGAAUUCCCGGUGUAGCGGUGAAAUGCGUAGAGAUCGGGAGGAACACCAGUGGCGAAGGCGGGUAACUGGACUGCAACUGACGCUGAGGCGCGAAAGCGUGGGGAGCGAACAGGAUUAGAUACCCUGGUAGUCCACGCGGUAAACGAUGAAUACUAGGUGUUGCGGGUAUCGACCCCUGCAGUGCCGGAGUAAACACAAUAAGCAUUCCGCCUGGGGAGUACGGCCGCAAGGUUGAAACUCAAAGGAAUUGACGGGG